Molecule: ribosomal RNA, 473 nt
Filed under: uncultured archaeon
Lineage: Archaea
Description: bacterial SSU rRNA
Rfam family: Archaeal small subunit ribosomal RNA
Source: RNAcentral
UUACAAUGCUGGCAACAGCGAUAAGGGAACCUCGAGUGCCAGGUUACAAAUCUGGCUGUCGAGAUGCCUAAAAAGCAUUUCAUAGCAAGGGCCGGGCAAGACCGGUGCCAGCCGCCGCGGUAACACCGGCGGCUCGAGUGGUAACCGUUAUUAUUGGGUCUAAAGGGUCUGUAGCCGGCCGGAUAAGUCUCUUGAGAAAUCUGGCAGCUUAACUGUCAGGCUUUCAGGAGAUACUGUCUGGCUCGAGGCCGGGAGAGGUGAGAGGUACUUCAGGGGUAGGGGUGAAAUCUUGUAAUCCUUGAAGGACCACCAGUGGCGAAGGCGUCUCACCAGAACGGACCUGACGGCAAGGGACGAAAGCUAGGGGCACGAACCGGAUUAGAUACCCGGGUAGUCCUAGCCGUAAACGAUACUCGCUAGGUGUCGGCCACGGUGCGACCGUUGUCGGUGCCGUAGGGAAGCCGUGAAGCGAG